GGGGAAUAUUGCACAAUGGGCGAAAGCCUGAUGCAGCAACGCCGCGUGAGUGAUGAAGGCCUUCGGGUUGUAAAGCUCUGUCUUCUGGGACGAUAAUGACGGUACCAGAGGAGGAAGCCACGGCUAACUACGUGCCAGCAGCCGCGGUAAUACGUAGGUGGCAAGCGUUGUCCGGAAUUACUGGGCGUAAAGGAUGCGUAGGCGGAUAUUUAAGUCAGAUGUGAAAUCCCCGGGCUUAACUUGGGGGCUGCAUUUGAAACUGGGUAUCUAGAGUGCAGGAGAGGUAAGUGGAAUUCCUAGUGUAGCGGUGAAAUGCGUAGAGAUUAGGAAGAACACCAGUGGCGAAGGCGACUUACUGGACUGUAACUGACGCUGAGGCAUGAAAGCGUGGGGAGCAAACA
RNAcentral lists this ribosomal RNA (401 nucleotides) under uncultured bacterium. RNAcentral's name for it is "bacterial SSU rRNA". It matches the Rfam family "Bacterial small subunit ribosomal RNA", at positions 356 to 774 of the family's 1533-position model. The record is from RNAcentral.